This 64-nucleotide microRNA precursor is filed under the name Scyliorhinus torazame (cloudy catshark). RNAcentral describes it as "Sto-Mir-27-P2_pre stem-loop". It matches the Rfam family "mir-27 microRNA precursor family", at positions 9 to 74 of the family's 80-position model. Lineage: Eukaryota; Metazoa; Chordata; Chondrichthyes; Carcharhiniformes; Scyliorhinidae. The record is from RNAcentral.
CAGAGCUUAGCUGAUUGGUGAACAGUGAUCAUUUUUGCUUUGUUCACAGUGGCUAAGUUCUGCA